Polypterus senegalus (gray bichir) is the source of this 3756-nucleotide long non-coding RNA. RefSeq lists it as uncharacterized. The transcript is spliced from 3 exons. The record is from RefSeq and is a predicted model, not a curated record. Lineage: Eukaryota; Metazoa; Chordata; Cladistia; Polypteriformes; Polypteridae.
UGCUCGAAUGAUUGAAUGAAAGUGGAGACCCCAACCUGGCAUGAGGCUCACUGGGACAAAGCUUGGAAAUAAUGAGGGGCGACUUAAGGGCACUUAUGUUGGGCAGAAUGCUCAGUGGGGGGCUCCUUUGCCCACCCCCCCUUCCCUCCUUUGAACUCCUGCACAUUUAGUUUUUUUUUUUUGGUCCACUCAGGCCAAUUGACCUCAUCAAUGGACCGUCAUUUAAAGACUUUUAAAAACCCAACCGACUCUACUUCUCUUAAUUAAGUGUCUACCUUAUGUCUGUCUGCCCUAUUUAUUUUUGUAUUAUUUUUCUUACCUAAUUUGAGUUGGUUUUUCUUUGCACGUAGUGAUGUCUUUGACACCUUUGAGCUCCAUCGUUUGUAUGAAGUCGUGCGUUAGGAAGUUCUUCUUCCUGAUGGCCCUUCCUGCUGUAGUUUCAGAGCCUUGCUGUGUAGCUGGUCGCACCAUCUUCUCCUGCGUGUCCUUCAGGCUCACACCUGGCUCUUCUCUCACAGCGCCUUCCCUUCCUCCAGUCCCGGACCCUCGUUUAUUUGCCUGGUGUCCCCCUUCGUGUGUGGUCGAGAUAUCCCACCUGGUGUUUACAGCGUUGAGUAAUCCUGUCCAAAGCUGACCACAGAGCAGCAUGUAGUAACGUGACAGUAUGAAAAACAUCUAGAAAGUUCUGGAACUUUUUGAGAAGGAAAUUGGCUUUACCUGAGGACUCUGAGAUCCCAGCCCUCCAGUACAAGAAGACAAAAAUAAAAUUCAUCCAUCCAUUCAGACGUGUGGUGUGAACGUAAACUAAAGGUCAUGAAUAUCAGGUAGAUGUUUGCACACCAAUGACACAGUGGCAAUCGGCUUCCUAGUGACAGCCUCGCCACCUGGAGGGUGACAGUAGCCUGGCUCUGCCCAUCAGGGCACAUUGAAUCAGGGUGAUGGCGCUGACAUGGAGCACUGGGCUCUGCCAUAUUCCGCUUAUGCAACGGCACAAAGUGUUUCGGCUUCAACCGUCUGAUGUUGUUUAUCUGGAGGGUCUGCUCCUUUCAGGCUCUCGUGCGACUGGCUCUGGCGGCAAUCCCUGACCACAUCCUGUUGUUGCUACAGUGUCAUGAUCCCCCCAUGUGCACAAAGACUAUCUCCUUCCUCAACCACCUUGGCCUCCUCCUGCAGCUCAGAAUUAUUCUUAGGGCAAUGCCACUUACCUCCAAAGCUGAGAUAAGACACCCCAGAAAGGGUAAAGUUGGGCCCCCCGAUGCUGGAAUUCUCAUUUUCCAGGCACCUCACUGACCCCCUAUAGCUGGACAUCCAUUCAGCUUAACGUGGCCUGAACUCUCACAUCAAACCCAGUCGCUUUAUCCUUUUUCACACUUUUGUCCUUUUCCUUCUAGAAGGCCUCAUUGCCAGCUUGCCAACUAAUGAAACAUAGAGGAGACGAUGGAUGGAAGCCAUGAAAAGGGACGAAGGACCACAUUUUGUGAUACGCAUUGGCACUGUCCGCCUCAAGUAAUAUUGUGCCGAGCCUUUUUAGUGGAAACAAAUUUGGUGUCCUACUGACUUGGGAAUCAGCUUUUGAAAAGGCAAAUAUCUGUCUCUAGUGUCGUUUGGACAAAUUUGCCAAUGCGUUUUUCGCUGCAUUUACCAGUGACCUUGUUUGCCGAAUAUUCUCCUGGAAAGUGCAAAGUAUCCGCAUAGAGCUGGGAGGUCCUUUCCUUGUCAUUAUGACCAAGUGCUCCAUGUGCUGCUAAUGUAAAAUGGAUCUUCUUUAUCCUGCUGCUUUGUGGAUUCUGUUCUGUCUAGUGCCUGUCUGGAGCUGCCUACCGGUUUAGGACUCGGUCCAUCCGAGACCGGCCGCUGCGAUUGAUCUUUGCGACUUUAGAUUGUGUGACGCAUAUCUCACUGCAGUUUCCAGAUUCUAUUCUUAGAGAUUCUUGUGAAACCUGAAAGAGAAGAAGAGGACGUGGGCUAAAAUGAGGAGGGUGUCAGGCUACGUUUGAGGAAACAGCGGCUCACCCGGAUUCCUCUGCCCUCGGUAAUCACGGGGAACAUCCAGUCUCUGAAGAAUAAAGUGGAGGAACUCCAAGGGCAAUGUCCAUUUUCAGAAGGCCUUCGGAGACGGGCCAGUACUGAGACAUGGCUCACGGAGCACAAGCAGGAUGCUGACUUGUUUAUCGAUGGUUUUGCAGCGCCAUGUUGGCUGGAUGGAAGGGCUGAAGUGAUGAGGAAAACUCGAGGUGGUGGCGCAUGUUUGAACUUUAAUUAACGAGACCGUCAGAGAACACACCUGUAUGCCAAAUGCUGAACUUUUUUCGACUGUUACGUCCUUUCUACCUUCCCAGUGAGUUUCCACAGCUUUUUAUCAUAAUAAUGGACAUUCACCCAAAGGCAAACGCUGCCUCUGCCUGUAGCACAAAAACUGCCAUCAAUUUCACCUGAUGCACCAAACUUUACAUUGGGCAAUCCCUUAAAAAGACGCUUCACGUGACACUUAACCAACGAGGUGAGAUAAGACAUCCAGGCUUUGUUACGGCUCAGUAAAGGACACUUCUAAAUCACUCCCACUAUCUCCAUUGGGCUCAGUGUGUCAUAACUGUGUGUGUUUAUUGUCCACAUAAAAAGAGAGAGAAAGCACAAAGGACAUAAAAUAGCAGACAGAUAAAUCUGUGCUCUGCCUGCACUGCCCGGGACAUCUCUAAACAGUCUUGUGAUGAUGACUUGGACAGAUUCAUUGAUGUUAUGUUCUCAUGGGAUGUGAUCAUUCCUUGUAAGCGAGUUACUAUUUACCCUAAUAACACACCAUGGGUGACCAAAUCCAUUAAGUCCAGCACACAGAAAACGCUACUCGUUAUAAACAGGGAGUUGCCUCUGAUCUUCAUAUAGCUACCGAGGAUCUGAAAAUAGAAAUCCUCCAAGCUAAACAGAAGUAUAAAUAUGAAUUAGUGAACGAGACGGCUGCAAGUAAACUUGGCCCAGCUUGGUUUAGUAUGAAAACCACAGCAGGCCUCUGGAAUCUAAAAAUUACCAGUCAGGUCGCCUCAGUUUUGGUUUCAGUUCAGAUACUGAGCGUGCUAAUGUUUUCAAUUGCUUGUAUAAAUCACCUUGAUACUUUUGAAUUUAGUAAUGAAAUUCACUACACUUGUAAAUCAUCACAACUUUGAUAUACGCCAAAAGGAUGUGGAAAAGGCCAUCCCUAUCAUGGACCUGAUAACAUCUGUGGCCAUUUACUUAAAUCUUGUGCAAAAGAACAAAGUCCCUUGUUCCACUAAAUUUGUAGUAAGUCUUUACAGGCACAGCAUGUACCUCAGGUUUGGGAGGAUGAUGUGGUAAGUCCCUGUCCCCAAACUUAGUUGACCUGAAACUAUUAAUGCUCUCACGUCCGUUUUAAUGAAAACCUUCAAAAAACUGGUAAGGUCAGAAAUCUUAUGGAAUACCCAGAGUGCAUUUCACCUGAUGCAGUUUGCUUCCAGGCCACACAGAGGAUGCCACUGUCACUUUGCUAAAUUUGCUUGCUAAAGAUCUGAACAGAAGUGGAGGUGUUUCAGUUUGAAGUCACAAACCCACCAUCUCUGCCUCAGAGGUGAGCACUUUGUGGCCUGAGCUAAACGGAGAGCUCCAUCUGUCAGCUGUGCAGAGCCCACCUCUGAACACAAUGAGCGGUGCGCACCCCUGGCAACGUCAGACCCCACCUUCUCUGCGCAGCGUCGUCACUACAGGUGACGAAGCGGAAGCGGAAGUAGAAGCAGACAAUGGCCGACA